AGGAUUGUACUCUUUAGGAUCAUUUCUAUAGUAACUAUCCAGCUUUAGUCCCUCAACUAAGGCAAAGCUUUGAAGCACGAUGACGACAAAGAGGUCGUUGUCCUGAGCGUGAGGCAGGUGCACGUUGAAUGGCUUUUGCCGCUCGCGUGAGCCCUCGAUGAUCGCGCGCUGCCCGCCGCUGGCGGAAAGCACAUGGACUUCGGACCAGUCCGAAUGCU
Small nucleolar RNA from Salpingoeca sp., 218 nucleotides. It matches the Rfam family "Small nucleolar RNA U3". Rfam says of the family: Small nucleolar RNAs (snoRNAs) are involved in the processing and modification of rRNA in the nucleolus. There are two main classes of snoRNAs: the box C/D class, and the box H/ACA class. U3 snoRNA is a member of the box C/D class. The record is from Rfam. NCBI's taxonomy places the organism in Eukaryota, Choanoflagellata, Craspedida, Salpingoecidae.